UAAUUCCGUAAACUCCGCUCCCCCUCAAAAGGUUGCACAGGCUUCCAAACUCGGUUUCCUGCACUCUUUGUUUCCCUACUGCCUUGUGAUCUCUCUAGUCUUCAAACAACAGAAAAAACAUGGCUGCGACCUUGGUUGGAGGAGCAUUUCUCGGCUGUGCAUUUAAUGUGCUGCUCGACCGUUUGAGUUCCCCGGAGCUCAUCAAGUUUUUCCGGGGUCGAAAGCUUGAUGAAAGUCUCCUCAAGAAGCUGGAGUUGACGUUACUUGAACUCAAUAAGGUGCUCAACGAUGCAGAGGAGAAGCAGAUCACUGACCGAGCCGUGAAAGCUUGGCUGGACGAGCUUAAAGAUGCUGUCUACCAUGCCGAGGACCUAGUGGAUGAGAUCGGUACCGAGGCCUUGCGGAGCAAGGUGGAAGCCGAGUACCCAAGAGGCAAACAAAGUUUACAGGAUUCUCUGAUCUCGACUUUUACUGGGUUAUUUGACCGUGGUGGUAUGAACUCCAAAUUAGAGAAAAUGAUUGGGAUGUUAGACCAUUUCGUGAAAGCUAAAGACGUACUUGGUUUGAGAGAAGUUGCUGGACUGAACUGGUCCCAAACCAGGGUGCCAACAACUUCUUUGGUGGAUGAAUCCUGUGUUUAUGGACGAGAGAAUGACAAGGAAGCGAUAAUGAAAUUGUUGCUCUCUGAUGGAGAAGGUAGUAACAAGAUUGAUGUGAUUCCAAUUGUUGGGAUGGGUGGGAUGGGCAAGACCACCCUUGCUCAACUUUUGUACAACGAUGGCAGAUUGGAUGAGCACUUUGUUAAGAAAGCAUGGGUAUGUGUCUCUGACGUAUUUGAUGUCGAAACUGUCACAAGAACAAUUGUCGAGGCAAUCGAUGGGCCGAGUUUGGGCGCAAGGGACCUAAACUCACUUCAGGUCAAGCUGAAGGAAUCAUUGAGUGGGAAAAAGUUUCUUAUUGUCUUAGAUGAUGUUUGGAACGAGAACUAUGACAAUUGGAACGCCUUGAUGACUCCAUUCAGAUUUGGAGCACACGGGAGUAAGAUUAUCGUUACAACGCGCAAUGAAAGCGUUGCCUCUAUCAUGCAAACAGUUCCUUUUCAUGGUUUGCAGAAAUUACCAGAGGAAGAUUGUUGGAAAUUGUUUUCCAAACAUGCAUUUGAGAAGGGAGAUUGCAAUGCUCAUCCUAACCUUGAAAGGAUUGGUAAGGCUAUAGUGAGAAAAUGUAACGGUUUGCCUUUAGCUGUAAAAACAUUGGGUGGUCUUUUGCGCUCCCAACGAGAUCCUAAGGAUUGGGACAACAUUCUAAAAAGUGCCAUAUGGGAGUUAUCAGAGGAGAAGAGCAAUAUCCUUCCAGCAUUAAGAUUGAGCUAUCUUUAUCUCCCCUCGCAUUUGAAAAGAUGUUUUGCUUGCUGUUCCAUAAUUUUUAAGGACUAUGUAUUCAACAUGGACGAAUUAGUCUCAAUUUGGAUAGCAGAAGGUUUUUUGGAGAAGCCCAAGAAUAAAAAGACAGUGGAAGAAGAAGGUUAUGAGUGCUUCCGCGAAUUGCUUUCAAGGUCAUUUUUUCAAAGAUCAAAUGGUAAUGCUUCUUUGUAUGUCAUGCAUGAUCUUGUUCAUGAUUUGGCUCGAUAUGUGAUGGGAGAUUUCUGUGAUAGGCUAGAGGAUGACAACCCACAUGGUAUUUCUGAAAAGGUACGUUAUUUCUCAUUUGCUCAAAGUAGAUUUGAUAGCUUUGAGAAGUUCAAGGAAAUAAAGGAGGCUAAGUAUUUAAGAACCUUCCUACCAUUAAAGCAUAAAUAUAUUGACGUCUGGUGUUUGAGCGAAAAGGUUGUGGAUGAGAUUUUGCCGGGAUUGACACGCUUACGGCUGUUGUCGCUGUCAAAAUAUGGGAUUAAAGAAUUGCCUUAUUCAAUUGGCAAUUUGAUACAUCUACGCUUUUUGGACCUUUCUCGCACCAAAAUCAGAGAGUUGCCGAAAUCAGUUUGUAAGUUGUAUAAUUUAGAAACAUUGUUGUUAUUUAAAUGUGAUCUUCUUACAACAUUACCGGCAGAUCUUGUAAAUCUGAUUUCACUGCGUCGUCUUGAUUUAAGGGGAACAAACUUAAAAGCGAUGCCAAUGAAUAUAAGUAAGUUGAAAGAUCUCCAACAAUUAACUGAUUUUGUAGUAGGAAAGUGCACAAGUAUUAAUGAGUUAGGAGAGUUUCAUUGCCUUCGAGGAACAAUCUCCAUCACAGGAUUGCAAAAUGUAAAGAGCGGCCAUGAUGCAUUGGAAGCAAAGAUGAGUGAGAAAAAGCAUCUUGAAAAGCUCGCGUUGGAAUGGGAUAGCACUACAGAGGAUUCACAGAAUGCAAGAGAUGUACUUGGAAAGCUAGAGCCUCAUACAAAUUUGAAGCACCUUGAGAUUAAAAACUAUGGAGGCACAAGAUUUCCUACUUGGUUAGGAAAUCAAUCGUUUUGCAAUAUGGUGUCGUUAUGUUUGGUGAAUUGCGAGAAUUGCUUUUUCUUGCCCCCACUUGGUCAAAUGCCCUCAUUGAAAGAGCUUAGCAUUGAAAGGAUGCCAGGAAUAUCGAGCGUGGGUUGUGAAUUUUAUGGAGAGAGUGGUUCUUCAAGAAAACCGUUUCAAUCUCUCGUGACUCUACGUUUUAAGAAAAUGUCAGAGUGGGUGGAUUGGUGUAUAUUAGAUGCUGGAGAGUUUUCUCGGCUUCAAAGGCUUGAGGUUAUCGAGUGUCCCAAGUUGUUUGGACACUUACCGACAAAUUUGUCUUCUCUGGUGGACCUUGGCAUAAAGUAUUGCCCAGAGCUUGUGUCUUCACUUCCAGAUACUACUUCUUUGCGCAGGCUAUCAUUGAUCGAAUGCCAAGGGAUGCAGUUGGAGUGGCAAGGUGUGCCUUCGGUUGAAAAGCUGUACAUUUCAAGCUUCACAAGUUUGAAGGAAUUUGGAAGCGAGCUGGUAACACUAAAAAAUCUGAAGGAGCUGACUGUUGACAAAUGUCCAAGUCUAUUAUAUUUCCCCAUAUCUGAGGAGAUGAGCCAUUGCUACACGUCCCUUGAAAAAUUGAAGGUGAGCAAAUGCGAUACCCUUAAAUCCCUCCCGCUCGGUUUAUUCCCGCAGCUUCAGUCUCUACAAAUUGAGGAUUGUGUAAAUUUUGAGACCCUGUUGAUUCCAGACGGGAUUGAGCUCAAUCUGACAUCACUUUCCAUUCAUGAUUGCAAUAAUAUGUUAUCUUUUCCCUGCGGAGGAUUACCUGCUCCAAAUCUGUCUUCUUUAAGUCUCCAUCGUUGCAAGAAGCUGAAGGCUCUGCCAGAACAAAUGCACACCCUCCUCCCAUCUCUUGGGGACUUAAUGUUACAUGAUUGUCCAGAAAUUGAGUUUUUUCCUGAAGGGGGUCUACCCUCCAAAUUAAGUUAUCUUAAUAUCAGAGAUUGCAAGAAACUUGUUGGCGGCCGAAGCGAUUGGGGUUUGCAAACACUACCCUCCCUCAAAAUACUUUAUCUGUUCGGUGAAUCUGAAGAUGCGUUGGAGUCAUUCCCCGAGGAGGGGCUGCUGCCCUCCACUCUUAAACAUCUCGGGCUCAUAAGAAUGCCGAAUCUCAAAUCACUCAACAAAAGGGGCCUUCAACAUCUUGGCUCUCUCGAAACCAUGGAUAUUUGGAAUUGCCCUCAGCUCCAAUCCUUGCCAGAAGAGGGGCUUCCCACUUCCCUCUUUCGGCUAUUUAUUUUGGACUGUCCAUUGCUGAAACCUCGUUGCCGCAGGGAGGAAGGGGAGGACUGGCAUAAGAUUGCUCACAUCCCUCUUAUAGAAAUCGAUUUUAAAGCAAUCGGUGAAUAAGUCUAUCCAGGAUACGCGGCCGGGGGAAACCUAAGCUUCCCACUCAGAGUUUGAAAGUUAGUUGACUGGUGACGAACCGUUGGAGGCAUCUACAGGUAUAUAUAUGCAGGUUGGUAUUCUACUGAGCAUAAGCUCUUGCAGAAUCACAAGAUCUCAAUCAUAGUUGUUAUUUGAUAACAACUUUUGGUCCGGUUGCAUUGAAUGGCUUCCAAAAGUAGACAAAUCUUGGGUGGCCAAAAUUGUAUGAGAAGCGAUGGCAGAUCAUCUAGGUCGUGUUUGGAUUAUGACUUUGUCAAGGAAAGUACUCAUAUCGCUUUGGCAUUACAUGAUUGUGAUCAAACCAGUUUUCAGUGUG
Rhododendron vialii is the source of this 4182-nucleotide RNA transcript. It is a transcript of the gene named putative disease resistance RPP13-like protein 1, with no coding region annotated. The transcript has 3 exons. The record is from RefSeq and is a predicted model, not a curated record. Lineage: Eukaryota; Viridiplantae; Streptophyta; Magnoliopsida; Ericales; Ericaceae.